This 253-nucleotide ribosomal RNA is filed under the name uncultured bacterium. Its description in RNAcentral is "partial 16S ribosomal RNA". It matches the Rfam family "Bacterial small subunit ribosomal RNA", at positions 524 to 776 of the family's 1533-position model. The record is from RNAcentral.
UACGUAGGGUGCGAGCGUUGUCCGGAAUUAUUGGGCGUAAAGGGCUCGUAGGCGGUCCAUCGCGUCGGGAGUGAAAAGCUGGGGCUUAACCCCAGUCCUGCUUCCGAUACGGGUGGACUAGAGGUAGGUAGGGGAGAUCGGAAUUCCUGGUGUAGCGGUGGAAUGCGCAGAUAUCAGGAGGAACACCGAUAGCGAAGGCAGCUCGCUGGGACGGUACUGACGCUGAGGCGCGAAAGCGUGGGGAGCGAACAGG